This is a non-coding RNA of Pelobates cultripes (western spadefoot toad), 1555 nucleotides long. NCBI's taxonomy places the organism in Eukaryota, Metazoa, Chordata, Amphibia, Anura, Pelobatidae. The record is from the annotation of a GenBank genome assembly.
GGCCAAUAUCAUCCGGGCCGGUAGACCAAAGUUCUUGGGGGACCCGAUCCAGAGCACUGGGGGUGUGUGUGACCCGUGCAUUCCCUGCGUUGUCAGUUAUGUUCAGCAGGAUAGGGAGGGAACAGAGGGCAGAGGUAUCCUUUUGUGAUAGGGGGGUUGUCAACUCGACUUGGCCAUCUGCAGUGAAAGUAAUGGAAGCCUGAAGCCGAGAGAGAACAUCGGCACCUAGGAGGUUAAUGGGACAGGUAGAGGAAACAACAAACCGGGAGAGGAUGUGUGAUCCUACGUGUAAGAGUUUAGUAAGGGGGUUACUGCGAGGUGUACCAUCUACCCCAACACAGGAGACAUCAGUGUCAGAUAAAAAGGAAGGGUCAGGCAGGUCUUGUUCCCUAAGAACACUACGGGCUGCACCUGUGUCAACUAGAAAGGUGGUUGGAUGGCCUUCUACGGGGAGAACUACAGUAGCUAAAGGCCCACCCCCAUCCCCCGCAGACACUGCCAUGGCAGGGGUUGCCGACACAGGCUUGCCGGUUACCUAUUGCAACAAAUCUAAAUGGGCUUGGUCCGGUCCUUGGUACCUGCGGGAAGUGGAAGGGGGGAUAGCAGAAUGGGUAGGUGGGCGAGAUGGACGGGUAGCGUGACGGGGCUGUGCCAGACUGUCUUGGAAAUCCUCGUUGUCAUACCCCUCGCCAGAGGGCGAGGAGUAAGCACGAGCAUCUGAUGUGGGUGGCCGGGCAUGGGUGUACUCAGGAGGCGGAGGAGGUGGAGGAGGGGGAAGCUGGGGCAACUGUGGAAGGGGUAGGGCAGGGAGAUAACCAGUGGAAGGGAAGUUAUAGCUGGUGACAUGGGGACCAGUGUACCGGGAAGUCUGCUGACGGAACACCCUCGGCUGUGGACAAUCCCUUCUAAAGUGUCCGGGUUGGUUACAAUUAUAACAGGACCUGAUUGUUGUGAAUGUCCGGUCUCUGGGAAAGGGAAGUGGUGCAGGCAGUGUCUGGGGUGGUUGGUGGUACUGUUGGAGGGGUAACUGAGGUGGUUGGUUAGAACCUGUGAUGGGAGUGGAGGUAGUGUACAUCAAAGGAUUAGUUCUACGUGGUGUGGGUUGUAAAACUGUUUCCAAACCCUUGGCUACCAACAAAAGAGUAUCCAGUGGAAUAAUUCUAUACUCAGGGCGAGCUAGGAUUAACCCUUUACGAAUAUGUUCCUUGAGGCCUGCCACAAACGCUGCAGAAAGCAUCUGAGUGUGUGCUUUAUUAUAGGAGCUGAAUCCCAAAUCUGAAAAAGUCUGAGUUAACCUAGAGUGGUACUUUUCAACGGUCUCAAGUUUGUCCUGAAGAAUAUCAUUUAUGCAAGUAGCCUGAUCAGCUAGUUUAUCCUGAGCCCAGGCUCGGAGCUGUUCACAGAAAACUUCACCAGAGCGAAAAUCAGUAUCAGAAGUAAGAGGAGCAUCGCUAAAGCUCCGUUCCAUGAUUGGCCAGUAUGCAUCACCAGCCUUUAUUUCACAUAAACUUAUGAGAUCCCGCCAAGCAGCGGAGUAUGUUUUGCGGAUCUGAGC